Molecule: ribosomal RNA, 484 nt
Filed under: uncultured bacterium
Lineage: Bacteria
Description: partial 16S ribosomal RNA
Rfam family: Bacterial small subunit ribosomal RNA
Source: RNAcentral
GAUGAACGCUGGCGGCGUGCUUAACACAUGCAAGUCGAACGGUGAAGCAGGAGCUUGCUUUUGUGGAUCAGUGGCGAACGGGUGAGUAACACGUGAGCAACCUGCCCCUGACUCUGGGAUAAGCGCUGGAAACGGCGUCUAAUACUGGAUAUGUGAUGUGACCGCAUGGUCUGCAUCUGGAAAGAAUUUCGGUUGGGGAUGGGCUCGCGGCCUAUCAGCUUGUUGGUGAGGUAAUGGCUCACCAAGGCGUCGACGGGUAGCCGGCCUGAGAGGGUGACCGGCCUCACUGGGACUGAGACACGGCCCAGACUCCUACGGGAGGCAGCAGUGGGGAAUAUUGCACAAUGGGCGGAAGCCUGAUGCAGCAACGCCGCGUGAGGGAUGACGGCCUUCGGGUUGUAAACCUCUUUUAGCAGGGAAGAAGCGAAAGUGACGGUACCUGCAGAAAAAGCACCGGCUAACUACGUGCCAGCCGCCGCGGUAA